GUGCGGCCUCCGCCCAAUCCGGUGCGCCCUCGUGGCAGCCGGAGCCGGGGACCCAACCGAACGAUGGGGUGAAUCGGCCCAACUGCCCUUCGGGGCAAGGGCCGUAGGGCAUGCCUUCCGGAUACGACCGCCCGAACCCGACAGCUAACUCGGUAGGCGGAGUACGGAAGGAGUA
Molecule: small RNA, 175 nt
Filed under: Streptomyces sp.
Lineage: Bacteria; Bacillati; Actinomycetota; Actinomycetes; Kitasatosporales; Streptomycetaceae
Also listed under: 1 other name
Description: c-di-AMP sequence
Rfam family: c-di-AMP riboswitch aptamer (ydaO/yuaA leader)
About the family: This family represents a conserved RNA structure found upstream of the ydaO and yuaA genes in Bacillus subtilis and related genes in other bacteria. The ydaO/yuaA element is thought to act as a genetic "off" switch for the ydaO and yuaA genes in its native state.
Source: RNAcentral